UCUCCUGGAAACGGGUGGUAAUGCCGGAUGCUCCGACUCCUCGCAUGGGGUGUCGGGAAAGAUUUCAUCGGUAUGGGAUGGGGUCGCGUCCUAUCAGGUAGUCGGCGGGGUAACGGCCCACCGAGCCUACGACGGGUAGCCGGCCUGAGAGGGCGACCGGCCACAUUGGGACUGAGAUACGGCCCAGACUCCUACGGGAGGCAGCAGUGGGGAAUAUUGCACAAUGGGCGCAAGCCUGAUGCAGCGACGCCGCGUGCGGGAUGACGGCCUUCGGGUUGUAAACCGCUUUUGAUCGGGAGCAAGCCUUCGGGUGAGUGUACCUUUCGAAUAAGCACCGGCUAACUACGUGCCAGCAGCCGCGGUAAUACGUAGGGUGCAAGCGUUAUCCGGAAUUAUUGGGCGUAAAGGGCUCGUAGGCGGUUCGUCGCGUCCGGUGUGAAAGUCCAUCGCUUAACGGUGGAUCUGCGCCGGGUACGGGCGGGCUGGAGUGCGGUAGGGGAGACUGGAAUUCCCGGUGUAACGGUGGAAUGUGUAGAUAUCGGAAA
RNAcentral lists this ribosomal RNA (545 nucleotides) under Bifidobacterium pseudocatenulatum. Its description in RNAcentral is "bacterial SSU rRNA". It matches the Rfam family "Bacterial small subunit ribosomal RNA", at positions 146 to 703 of the family's 1533-position model. The record is from RNAcentral. Lineage: Bacteria; Bacillati; Actinomycetota; Actinomycetes; Bifidobacteriales; Bifidobacteriaceae.